GACAUCGUCGUCUAGUUGGUUAGGACACCUCGUUGUGGCCGAGGAAACACGAGUUCGAAUCUCGUCGAAGUCA
Non-coding RNA from Tribonema minus, 73 nucleotides. The record is from the annotation of a GenBank genome assembly. NCBI's taxonomy places the organism in Eukaryota, Xanthophyceae, Tribonematales, Tribonemataceae.